ACGCUGGCGGUAGGCUUAACACAUGCAAGUCGUGCGAGAAAGUAUCUUCGGAUAUGAGUAGAGCGGCGGACGGGUGAGUAACGCGUAGGAAUCUACCUAGUAGAAGGGGAUAGCCCGGGGAAACUCGGAUUAAUACCGUAUACCUCCUUCGGGAGAAAGAAGGCCUCUCUUUGAAGCUUUCGCUAUUAGAUGAGCCUGCGUAAGAUUAGCUUGUUGGUGAGGUAAAGGCUCACCAAGGCAACGAUCUUUAGCGGGUCUGAGAGGACGAUCCGCCACAUUGGGACUGAGACACGGCCCAGACUCCUACGGGAGGCAGCAGUGGGGAAUAUUGGACAAUGGGCGCAAGCCUGAUCCAGCCAUACCGCGUGUGUGAAGAAGGCCCUAGGGUUGUAAAGCACUUUAAGUUGGGAAGAAAAGUUAUUGGUUAAUAUCCAAUGACCGUGACAUUACCAUCAGAAUAAGGACCGGCUAAUUCCGUGCCAGCAGCCGCGGUAAUACGGAAGGUCCAAGCGUUAAUCGGAAUUACUGGGCGUAAAGCGCGCGUAGGUGGUUUAUUAAGUUGGAUGUGAAAUCCCCGGGCUCAACCUGGGAACUGCAUCCAAAACUAAUUCACUAGAGUACGAUAGAGGGAGGUAGAAUUCACAGUGUAGCGGUGGAAUGCGUAGAUAUUGUGAAGAAUACCAAUGGCGAAGGCAGCCUCCUGGAUCUGUACUGACACUGAGGUGCGAAAGCGUGGGUAGCGAACAGGAUUAGAUACCCUGGUAGUCCACGCCGUAAACGAUGUCAACUAGCUGUUGGAAAACUAUGUUUUUCAGUGGCGCAGCUAACGUAGUAAGUUGACCGCCUGGGGAGUACGGCCGCAA
Molecule: ribosomal RNA, 863 nt
Filed under: uncultured Gammaproteobacteria bacterium
Lineage: Bacteria; Pseudomonadati; Pseudomonadota; Gammaproteobacteria
Description: bacterial SSU rRNA
Rfam family: Bacterial small subunit ribosomal RNA
Source: RNAcentral